AUUCGGUAAAAGCGGAUCUGUCGUCAUAUGUGUGUUCUGACGAAAAUACCCACCAUGGCUUGCAGCCAGCUGCGAGACUUGGUGUGAAUUGCGGGACACACUAAGCACUUACUCUUUGAACGCUCAUUGUGGCCUCGGGCCUUCCCAUGGCUUCGUCUGUGUGAGGGUCG
RNAcentral lists this ribosomal RNA (170 nucleotides) under Ixodes scapularis (black-legged tick). RNAcentral's name for it is "5.8S ribosomal RNA". The stretch from base 55 to 169 matches the Rfam family "5.8S ribosomal RNA", at positions 40 to 153 of the family's 154-position model. From Rfam's summary of the family: 5.8S ribosomal RNA (5.8S rRNA) is a component of the large subunit of the eukaryotic ribosome. The record is from RNAcentral. Lineage: Eukaryota; Metazoa; Arthropoda; Arachnida; Ixodida; Ixodidae.